Molecule: ribosomal RNA, 390 nt
Filed under: uncultured bacterium
Lineage: Bacteria
Description: bacterial SSU rRNA
Rfam family: Bacterial small subunit ribosomal RNA
Source: RNAcentral
AUUGAACGCUGGCGGAAUGCUUUACACAUGCAAGUCGAGCGGCAGCGCGGGGGCAACCCUGGCGGCGAGCGGCGAACGGGUGAGUAACAUAUCGGAACGUACCCCGUCGUGGGGGAUAACACAGCGAAAGCUGUGCUAAUACCGCAUACGACCUGAGGGUGAAAGCGGGGGAUCGCAAGACCUCGCGCGAUGGGAGCGGCCGAUAUCGGAUUAGCUUGUUGGUGAGGUAAAGGCUCACCAAGGCGACGAUCCGUAGCUGGUCUGAGAGGACGACCAGCCACACUGGAACUGAGACACGGUCCAGACUCCUACGGGAGGCAGCAGUGGGGAAUUUUGGACAAUGGGGGGCAACCCUGAUCCAGCCAUUCCGCGUGAGUGAAGAAGGCCUUC